UACGUAGGGGGCAAGCGUUGUCCGGAAUCAUUGGGCGUAAAGCGCGCGUAGGCGGCCCGAUAAGUCCGCUGUAAAAGUCCAGGGCUCAACCCUGGAAAGCCGGUGGAUACUGUCGGGCUCGAGUCCGGAAGAGGCGAGUGGAAUUCCCGGUGUAGCAGUGAAAUGCGUAGAGAUCGGGAGGAACGCCGGUGGCGAAAGCGCACAACUGGUCCUCUUCUGACGCUGAGGCGCGAAAGCCAGGGGAGCAAACGGG
RNAcentral lists this ribosomal RNA (253 nucleotides) under uncultured bacterium. Its description in RNAcentral is "partial 16S ribosomal RNA". It matches the Rfam family "Bacterial small subunit ribosomal RNA", at positions 524 to 776 of the family's 1533-position model. The record is from RNAcentral.